Molecule: small nuclear RNA, 146 nt
Organism: Neogale vison (American mink)
Lineage: Eukaryota; Metazoa; Chordata; Mammalia; Carnivora; Mustelidae
Product: U4 spliceosomal RNA
Exons: 1
Source: RefSeq, a predicted model, not a curated record
AGCUUUGCGCAGUGGCAGUAUCGUAGCCAAUGAGGUUUAUCCGAGGCGCGAUUAUUGCUAAUUGAAGUUCCAUGUGCCUUUCAGAAGAAUAAGUAUUCUGUUGUUUUAAGGUGGAAUAUUCUGUAUGUAUUAUGCAAACAAUGAAU